AGCUUGCUUUUUUCAACUCAUUGGCGGACGGGUGAGUAACGCGUGAGUAACCUGCCUUUCAGAGGGGGAUAACGUUCUGAAAAGAACGCUAAUACCGCAUAAGAUUGUAGUUUCGCAUGGGACAGCAAUCAAAGGAGCAAUCCGCUGAAAGAUGGACUCGCGUCCGAUUAGAUAGUUGGCGGGGUAACGGCCCACCAAGUCGACGAUCGGUAGCCGGACUGAGAGGUUGAUCGGCCACAUUGGGACUGAGACACGGCCCAGACUCCUACGGGAGGCAGCAGUGAGGGAUAUUGGGCAAUGGGGGAAACCCUGACCCAGCAACGCCGCGUGAGGGAUGACGGUUUUCGGAUUGUAAACCUCUGUCCUCUGUGAAGAUAGUGACGGUAGCAGAGGAGGAAGCUCCGGCUAACUACGUGCCAGCAGCCGCGGUAAUACGUAGGGAGCAAGCGUUGUCCGGAUUUACUGGGUGUAAAGGGUGCGUAGGCGGAUUGGCAAGUCAGAAGUGAAAUCCAUGGGCUUAACCCAUGAACUGCUUUUGAAACUGUUAGUCUUGAGUGAAGUAGAGGUAGGCGGAAUUCCCGGUGUAGCGGUGAAAUGCGUAGAGAUCGGGAGGAACACCAGUGGCGAAGGCGGCCUACUGGGCUUUAACUGACGCUGAGGCACGAAAGUGUGGGUAGCAAACAGGAUUAGAUACCCUGGUAGUCCGCACUGUAAACGAUGAUUACUAGGUGUGGGGGGUCUAACCCCCUCCGUGCCGGAGUUAACACAAUAAGUAAUCCACCUGGGGAGUACGACCGCAAGGUUGAAACUCAAAGGAAUUGACGGGGGCCCGCACAAGCAGUGGAGUAUGUGGUUUAAUUUC
This 862-nucleotide ribosomal RNA is filed under the name uncultured Oscillospiraceae bacterium. Its description in RNAcentral is "bacterial SSU rRNA". It matches the Rfam family "Bacterial small subunit ribosomal RNA", at positions 77 to 953 of the family's 1533-position model. The record is from RNAcentral. Lineage: Bacteria; Bacillati; Bacillota; Clostridia; Eubacteriales; Oscillospiraceae.